RNAcentral lists this ribosomal RNA (463 nucleotides) under uncultured bacterium. RNAcentral describes it as "partial 16S ribosomal RNA". It matches the Rfam family "Bacterial small subunit ribosomal RNA", at positions 28 to 507 of the family's 1533-position model. The record is from RNAcentral.
GAUGAACGCUGACAGAAUGCUUAACACAUGCAAGUCGAUGGGGAAGUGGUGCUUGCACCAUGGCAACCAUGGCGGACGGGUGAGUAACGCGUAAGGGACUUACCUGCAGGACUGGGAUAACAGGGGGAAACUCCUGACAAGACCGGAUAAUGUCAUGGAGCUGCAUGGCUUUAUGAUGAAAGGAGACGCCUGCGGAGAGCCUUGCGUCCUAUUAGCUAGUUGGUGAGGUAAUGGCUCACCAAGGCGAAGAUAGGUAGCCGGCCUGAGAGGGUGGACGGCCACAAGGGGACUGAGAUACGGCCCUUACUCCUACGGGAGGCAGCAGUGGAGAAUAGUGGACAAUGGGGGCAACCCUGAUCCAGCAAUUCUGUGUGCACGAAGAAGGUUUUCGGAUUGUAAAGUGCUUUCAGCAGGGAAGAAGUAAGUGACGGUACCUGCAGAAGAAGCGACGGCUAAAUACGUG